AUUUAUUUUAUAUUUAUAUAGUUCCCACUGUAUUUUUAAUAUAUUUGUACAAAGCACCAUAACACUUUUGGUUUUUUAGGAAAUCACUUAAUUGGCGGCGGGAGGUAUCACUUUCUUCAAUAAUUUCAGUUGCCAACACUAGUCUAUGAAAGGUGAAUCUUGAACAGUUGAAAAAAAUGUGAUUCAUGUCGGCGUUCUCUUCGUUACAAAAAGUGCAAUUAUUGCUGCUUAUUAUGUUCAAUCUCGCAAGGUGUGCAGGUGCAGUGUUAUGACCAAAUCUGAGUCUGUUUAUUGUUGUGAUAAAGUCACGGUUCGCUAUCUUCAGCUCAUUGUACCAUGGAUUUGUCGGAAAAUCCGGCACAAAGUUGGGGACAGCCCAGUCAGAAGAUCAUGAGGUGAAGCUAAUGGACCAUCUGUGAUGAUUGGGUGAGAUCGUGGAUGAGAGAAAUGAAGCUGUCUGAACAACUUCGUCCUCUACGGAACCCAUACUGAAUUUGAGGAAUGAUGUUAUGAGAUUCUGCGUACCAAUCCAGGCGGUUCUUUAGCAUAUUUUCAAAUAUCUUACCAAUACAUGAUGAUAAAGAUAUUGGCCGAUAAGAACUGGCCUCCUCUGGUGGUUUAUCUUGUUUAAGUAUGGGUAUCACACAUUGAGUCUUCCAUGAGAUUGGUAUCAGUUUUUUAAGCCAAAGACAAUUUAAAAUACACAGUAAUAUUUUUUGGAUAGAUUCUGGUAGUUCUUUUAUUAAUAUAUACGGAAAAUCGUCCAAACCAGGGCUAGUAUUUUUUCUAGAUUUUAUACUUGUUAAAAAUUCUGACCAUGAGAAAGGAUCCAAUAGAAAUCCUGAUUGUGGAUUUUCAUUGUUCAUAUUAAAAUAAGUUUCUAACGAAUCAGGAUUAACUAAAUUAGAAUUAUCUGAUAAUUUAUCUAACAAUGGUUGCACAAAAUCAUUUUGAUAUGACUUAUUAUUGGUUCUAAUACCCUUAAAUCUUUUAAUAAGGUUCCAGAUUUUACUUAUAGGAGUAGUUCUAUUGAAAUUAUUACAAAAACUGUUCCAACUUUUACGUUUUUCUUCCUUUAUGGUGCGUUUUUUAAGAGCAUCUAUUCUUUUGUACUUAAUGUAAUUGUCUAAUGUUGGAUCGUUUCUAUAAAGUUUAAGUGCUUCAUAUGAUUUAAUAACUGCUUGUUCACACGUACUAUUCCACCACGGAGCGGGUGGCCUACUCCUAAAAUUUGUUUUAGUAAAUCUAGGAACUUCCAUUAGUUUAAGUUCAUUAAGUCGGAUACAAAACUCAUCAUAAGAUUUCAUUGGAUCCUCUUCAUUGACCAUCAUUUCAUGGAAGACUGUACUAGAUGAUUCCCUAUACUUAUUCCAGUCCGUUUUAUGGUAUAAAAAUCUGUCAUCAUAUUGAUUUAUUGUGUACCUUUCAAUGCACAUGGUAAUGUUUGUUAUUGUUGGAUAAUGAUAACUACCCAUAGCAUCAUCAUGUACAGACCAUUCACACAAGGGUGCCAAGUGAGGGCUAACAAAACUUACAUCUAUUGCUGAAGGGUUGUGUGUAGGAUAAUUUACUGUUGUAAAGCUGCCAUUAUUCAAAAUACAUAAAUCUAAUUCAUCAAUUAUAUCAUAUAAACUUUGGCCUCGACUUUUGGUGGAUAAACAUCCAAAAGCAAUAUGAUGUGCAUUGAAAUCUCCACUAAUAAAUAAAGGUUUUGGUAAAUCUCUUAUGAUAUUGCGCAAUCUAUUCAUUCGUAUGUGCCCAGCAGAUGGAGGACAGUAUACACAGAGAAUAGUUAAAGAUGACGUAUUGUCUGUAUAUACAGAUAUGGCUAUUGUUUGUAUAUCCUCAUAAAAGUUGGUAUUUAUAAUAUUGUACUUUAAAUAUGGUUUUACUAAUAUUCCUACACCAUUACGAGGAUUUUUAGAAAUUUUGUUAUAAAAAUUGUAUCCAGAAAUACGAACAGACUGGUGUUCUUUUAACCAUGUCUCAUUUAGUAGACAAAUAUCAAUAUCUUUAUCAUUUAAAAAUUUUGUAAGAAGAGGUUUUUUGUUAUUUAUCCCUUGAACAUUAAAUUGCGCAAUACAUAGAGAAGAUAUUUUUUGAGUUUGUGAAUUCAUUAUAUUGACAGACUCUUAAGAAGAACAUCUUUAAUGAAUGAUGUUGUAACAGGUACUUCAUCACUCUUAUUUGCUACUUGGACCAAUGUGUGUACCAGGGCCAUUAGUACAUCAUCAUUUCCAACGAUAAGCGACUUUAUGUUUGGUAUAUUUACAUCUCUUGAAAUAGGCUUUACAGGUUUAUUUACAAAUUUGGAUGUAUUAUUUACAUUAUUUACAUUUUUAUUUACAGGUAUGGUGCGAGUUGGCAGAGGAGGGAAAUCAACACUUUCUUUGGAAAUAGCAACACUUGCAUAUGAUAUUUUAUUUUUCUUUUCUAAUAAUUUCUUUAUUUUAACUGGACAUUGUUUAGAAAUGGCCAAGUGAGGUCCACCACAAUUAACACAGCAAAUCUCAUUUGGCUUACUACAUUCUUUAUAAAAAUGUUCACCAGAACAAAUUGAGCAGCGCUGCUUUCCGUUACAUAUUUUGGCUGAGUGAUUGAACUUAAAACAUUUAUAACAUUGUUGCAAAGGGGGAACAUAAUCAAAUACUCUAUAUGAAAAUAACUCAUAUUGCACAUUAUCAGGUAAGCUAUUUGACAAAAAAGUUAUACUAACAGUUUGUGUACCGACUAAUUCAUUACCAACUUUUCUCAUGAAUCUUCGCACUGCAAUUAUUUCAUAUGUUGAAGUUAAAUUUGUGAAAAGAUCUUUGUUCGAUAUAUUUGCUGGUACAAAUCUAAUUAUUCCUGUUUUUUCAAUUUGAGCUGCCGGGAUGUAUGCUUUCAUAUUAUAUUUUUCUAGAAAGUUAAUGUUACUUAUGAAGUUAUUGGCCGUGUUAUGUUGUUUGAAAAUCACAACAAUUUUGUUUGCGUUAAUACGCCGAAUUGCUACUACACCUUUUACGUUUGAAAAUAUACUGUUUAAAUAAA
Aricia agestis (brown argus) is the source of this 3030-nucleotide long non-coding RNA. RefSeq lists it as uncharacterized. The transcript has 3 exons. NCBI's taxonomy places the organism in Eukaryota, Metazoa, Arthropoda, Insecta, Lepidoptera, Lycaenidae. The record is from RefSeq and is a predicted model, not a curated record.